GGUUGACCUCGGAUCAGGUAGGGAUACCCGCUGAACUUAAGCAUAUCAAUAAGCGGAGGAAAAGAAACCAACAGGGAUUACCUCAGUAACGGCGAGUGAAGCGGUAACAGCUCAAAUUUGAAAGCUGGCUCUUUUAGGGUCCGCGUUGUAAUUUGUAGAAGAUGCUUCGGGUGUAGCUCCGGUCUAAGUUCCUUGGAACAGGACGUCAUAGAGGGUGAGAAUCCCGUAUGUGACUGGGUGCUUUCGCUCAUGUGAAGCUCUUUCGACGAGCCGAGUUGUUUGGGAAUGCAGCUCAAAAUGGGUGGUAAAUUUCAUCUAAAGCUAAAUAUUGGCCAGAGACCGAUAGCGCACAAGUAGAGUGACCGAAGGAUGAAAAGCACUUUGGAAAGAGAGUUAAACAGUACGUGAAAUUGUUGAAAGGGAAGCGCUUGCAACCAGACUUGCGCGCUGAUGAUCAUCCGGGCUUCUGUCCGGUGCACUCGUCUGCGCUCAGGCCAGCAUCGGUUUCGGUGGUGGGAUAAAGGCCUUGGGAAUGUAGCUCCUCUCGGGGAGUGUUAUAGCCCUCGGUGCAAUGCCGCCUACCGGGACCGAGGACCGCGCUUCGGCUAGGAUGCUGGCGUAAUGGUUGUAAGCGACCCGUCUUGAAACACGGACCAAGGAGUCUAACAUCUAUGCGAGUGUUUGGGUGUUAAACCCAUACGCGUAAUGAAAGUGAACGGAGGUGAGAACCCUUAAGGGUGCAUCAUCGACCGAUCCUGAUGUCUUCGGAUGGAUUUGAGUAAGAGCAUAGCUGUUGGGACCCGAAAGAUGGUGAACUAUGCGUGAAUAGGGUGAAGCCAGGGGAAAACUCUGGUGGAGGCUCGCAGCGGUUCUGACGUGCAAAUCGAUCGUCAAAAUUUGCGUAUAGGAGCGAAAGACUAAUCGAACCAUCUAGUAGCUGGUUCCUGCCCGAAU
Molecule: ribosomal RNA, 954 nt
Filed under: uncultured fungus
Lineage: Eukaryota; Fungi
Description: eukaryotic LSU rRNA
Rfam family: Eukaryotic large subunit ribosomal RNA
Source: RNAcentral